UACGGGGGGGGCAAGCGUUGUUCGGAAUUACUGGGCGUAAAGGGCUUGUAGGUGGCCAACUAAGUCAGACGUGAAAUCCCUCGGCUUAACCGGGGAACUGCGUCUGAUACUGGAUGGCUAGAGUGUGGGAGAGGGAUGCGGAAUUCCAGGUGCAGCGGUGAAAUGCGUAGAUAUCAGGAGGAACACCAACGGCGAAGGCAGCUAGCUGGACGAGAUCCGACGCUCAGGCUCGAAAGUAUGGGGAGCAAAAAGG
Molecule: ribosomal RNA, 253 nt
Filed under: uncultured bacterium
Lineage: Bacteria
Description: partial 16S ribosomal RNA
Rfam family: Bacterial small subunit ribosomal RNA
Source: RNAcentral